Molecule: ribosomal RNA, 118 nt
Filed under: uncultured bacterium
Lineage: Bacteria
Description: partial 16S ribosomal RNA
Rfam family: Bacterial small subunit ribosomal RNA
Source: RNAcentral
UACGUUCCCGGGCCUUGUACACACCGCCCGUCACACCACGAAAGUCGGCAACACCCGAAGCCGGUGGCCUAACCCGCAAGGGAAGGAGCCGUCGAAGGUGGGGUCGGUGAUUGGGGUG